GGUGAACUAACAGUUGGAUGCACAAUUACCCGGAGGUCCUAGAUAGCUUAUCGGCGUAGGAACAUCGGGGACACUCCGGCACCUAUAUGACCUUAUGCGCGUGUGAGACUGGUGUGCCAUCGUUAAGUCGAUGUCAUAAAUCAGGUCA
This 148-nucleotide unclassified non-coding RNA is filed under the name synthetic construct. The record is from RNAcentral.